UGCAGUCGAACGAUGAUGCCCAGCUUGCUGGGCGGAUUAGUGGCGAACGGGUGAGUAAUACGUGAGUAACCUGCCCUUGACUCUGGGAUAAGCCUGGGAAACUGGGUCUAAUACUGGAUACUACCUCUUGCCGCAUGGUGGGUGGUGGAAAGGGUUUUACUGGUUUUGGAUGGGCUCACGGCCUAUCAGCUUGUUGGUGGGGUAAUGGCUCACCAAGGCGACGACGGGUAGCCGGCCUGAGAGGGUGACCGGCCACACUGGGACUGAGACACGGCCCAGACUCCUACGGGAGGCAGCAGUGGGGAAUAUUGCACAAUGGGCGGAAGCCUGAUGCAGCGACGCCGCGUGAGGGAUGACGGCCUUCGGGUUGUAAACCUCUUUCAGUAGGGAAGAAGCGAGAGUGACGGUACCUGCAGAAGAAGCGCCGGCUAACUACGUGCCAGCAGCCGCGGUAAUACGUAGGGCGCAAGCGUUGUCCGGAAUUAUUGGGCGUAAAGAGCUCGUAGGCGGUUUGUCGCGUCUGCUGUGAAAGCCCGGGGCUCAACCCCGGGUCUGCAGUGGGUACGGGCAGACUAGAGUGCAGUAGGGGAGACUGGAAUUCCUGGUGUAGCGGUGAAAUGCGCAGAUAUCAGGAGGAACACCGAUGGCGAAGGCAGGUCUCUGGGCUGUUACUGACGCUGAGGAGCGAAAGCAUGGGGAGCGAACAGGAUUAGAUACCCUGGUAGUCCAUGCCGUAAACGUUGGGCACUAGGUGUGGGGGACAUUCCACGUUUUCCGCGCCGUAGCUAACGCAUUAAGUGCCCCGCCUGGGGAGUACGGCCGCAAGGCUAAAACUCAAAGGAAUUGACGGGGGCCCGCACAAGCGGCGGAGCAUGCGGAUUAAUUCGAUGCAACGCGAAGAACCUUACCAAGGCUUGACAUUCACCGGACCGCCCCAGAGAUGGGGUUUCCCUUCGGGGCUGGUGGACAGGUGGUGCAUGGUUGUCGUCAGCUCGUGUCGUGAGAUGUUGGGUUAAGUCCCGCAACGAGCGCAACCCUCGUUCUAUGUUGCCAGCACGUGAUGGUGGGGACUCAUAGGAGACUGCCGGGGUCAACUCGGAGGAAGGUGGGGAUGACGUCAAAUCAUCAUGCCCCUUAUGUCUUGGGCUUCACGCAUGCUACAAUGGCCGGUACAAAGGGUUGCGAUACUGUGAGGUGGAGCUAAUCCCAAAAAGCCGGUCUCAGUUCGGAUUGAGGUCUGCAACUCGACCUCAUGAAGUCGGAGUCGCUAGUAAUCGCAGAUCAGCAACGCUGCGGUGAAUACGUUCCCGGGCCUUGUACACACCGCCCGUCAAGUCACGAAAGUUGGUAACACCCGAAGCCGGUGGCCUAACCCCUUGUGGGAGGGAGCC
This 1391-nucleotide ribosomal RNA is filed under the name Kocuria rosea. RNAcentral's name for it is "partial 16S ribosomal RNA". It matches the Rfam family "Bacterial small subunit ribosomal RNA". Lineage: Bacteria; Bacillati; Actinomycetota; Actinomycetes; Micrococcales; Micrococcaceae. The record is from RNAcentral. RNAcentral also lists the same sequence under 1 other name.